Molecule: long non-coding RNA, 645 nt
Filed under: Ananas comosus (pineapple)
Lineage: Eukaryota; Viridiplantae; Streptophyta; Magnoliopsida; Poales; Bromeliaceae
Description: long non-coding RNA (ACOM_LNC032654)
Source: RNAcentral
CAUCUUUUGUACUUGAUCAUUAUAGAUGUUUAAAGCAAAGAAUGUAAAAGGUUUAUUUUGGUGAUUAUGUGAUAUAAAAAGAAAUGAUGCAAGAAUGUAAAAGAAUUUACAGAAGUUGAAUACAUGUAUGUGGUUAAAAGUUAAUAAUAUUACUUAUAUGAUGUUUUGUUUAGUACUUUCAUUUUGGCUAUUGCUUGCUCUCGUGCAAGCCAAUUAUGUAUGUUUCCGCUUGUGCAAAUUUCUUUACUUGAUUUGUACUUGUUGUUGAGCCUUGGGCGGACAGGGAAGGUGUUGUCCGUUCGGCGUCUGUUUGACGUGCCCGAACGACCAAAUAGGUCCGGUCGCGGGGCGUGACAGUACCGGUACCCACCAACCAGUACCGGUACCCAAGCCUGUUUCUUUUAAAACCUGAGAGCCCCUCUUUUCAAUAAUUUUACGGCGUACCGGUACUCAACCCCCGCGUACCGGUACCCAAUACAAAUUUCUCAAAUUUUGGUACCGGUAUUCGGCCUUGGUACUUCAAUUCCCGAGAGCAUAUUUUUCAGUCUUUGCAUUGCGUACCGGUACCCAAUCCCAGUACCGAUACCCAAUGUAAAAUCUACAACUUGGCAAAUUACAUCCUUUCGAGCCCGUUUUUGCGUCUAA